Molecule: ribosomal RNA, 305 nt
Filed under: uncultured bacterium
Lineage: Bacteria
Description: bacterial SSU rRNA
Rfam family: Bacterial small subunit ribosomal RNA
Source: RNAcentral
UGCUCCUACGGGGGGCAGCAGUCGAGAAUCAUUCACAAUGGACGAAAGUCUGAUGGUGCGACGCCGCGUGGGGGAAUGAAGGUCUUCGGAUUGUAAACCCCUGUCAUGUGGGAGCAAAUUAAAAAGAUAGUACCACAAGAGGAAGAGACGGCUAACUCUGUGCCAGCAGCCGCGGUAAUACAGAGGUCUCAAGCGUUGUUCGGAAUCACUGGGCGUAAAGCGUGCGUAGGCUGUUUCGUAAGUCGUGUGUGGAAGGCGCGGGCUCAACCCGCGGACGGCACAUGAUACUGCGAGACUAGAGUAAG